AAAAGAAACUAACAAGGAUUCCCUCAGUAACGGCGAGUGAACGGGGAGAAGCCCAGCGCUGAAUCUUUCGAUGUUACAUCGUAAAGAAAUGUAGCGUAUAGGUGUGGUUUUCAGUUUGUGCUACAUGUCCAAAGUCCCUUUGAUAGGGGCCAUAUUCCCGAGAGGGUGCGAGACCUGUGCGGACAGUGGAGCAAGCUGUACGAUCAUACCUUAGAGUCGGGUUGCUUGAAAGUGCAGCCUAAAGUGGGUGAUAAACUUCAUCUAAGGCUAAAUAUAGACGCGAAUUCGAUAGCAAACAAGUACUGUGAAGGAAA
Molecule: ribosomal RNA, 314 nt
Filed under: Nematodirus spathiger
Lineage: Eukaryota; Metazoa; Nematoda; Chromadorea; Rhabditida; Molineidae
Description: eukaryotic LSU rRNA
Rfam family: Eukaryotic large subunit ribosomal RNA
Source: RNAcentral